Molecule: ribosomal RNA, 253 nt
Filed under: uncultured bacterium
Lineage: Bacteria
Description: partial 16S ribosomal RNA
Rfam family: Bacterial small subunit ribosomal RNA
Source: RNAcentral
UACGUAGGGGGCAAGCGUUGUCCGGAUUUAUUGGGCGUAAAGAGCUCGUAGGUGGUUCGGCAAGUCGGAUGUGAAAUCCCUCGGCUCAACCAAGGAAGUGCAUCCGAAACUGCCGAGCUUGAGUACUUAAGAGGAUCGCGGAAUUCCCGGUGUAGAGGUGAAAUGCGUAGAUAUCUGGAGGAACACCGGUGGCGAAGGCGACAUCCUGGACCGGCAUUGACGCUGAGGCGCGAAAGCCAGGGGAGCAAACGGG